UAUAUAUGAAUGAGGAGUUUUGGGUUACCACUUAGAAAGGAAAUGCCUCAUUCGUCAACUCCCUCUACCGGAGACUUGGGGGACUCCUACCAUAUGCUACUGCACCUUUAUACUUGGAAGUCUCACGACCACUCAGUGACUUAGAUUUUUCAAGUCUCCAAUCGAGAAGUUUUGCUCACUCGAGAAAUUAAGGGAGCACAACCUCAACAUAAAUGCUUCACUCUCAAAGCUUCAACAUACAAGCUUCAACAAAAGAAAAAAUUCAAAGAACUUAGUGAAGAAGACCUUGGUGUAUUUAACACAAUACGUUGAAAUGAAGCAAAACUUGUUUAUUGAUAUCUCCGAUAAGUUACAAAUAUGUACAUAGACAUGAAUCAAAAUAAACAAACAAGAGGGAGCCUUCAUAAAGGUUACUCAGGAAAAGUCUCAGCAGUGGGUAGAGACCCAUAAAGAGGAUGCACCGGAGGGUGAUUAUUCGUAACCUCAGUACUAGGCAGAACCCCAGAAGGAGGAGGCACC
Molecule: long non-coding RNA, 519 nt
Filed under: Malus domestica (apple)
Lineage: Eukaryota; Viridiplantae; Streptophyta; Magnoliopsida; Rosales; Rosaceae
Description: long non-coding RNA (MDOM_LNC012278)
Source: RNAcentral